This 547-nucleotide ribosomal RNA is filed under the name uncultured bacterium. RNAcentral describes it as "bacterial SSU rRNA". It matches the Rfam family "Bacterial small subunit ribosomal RNA", at positions 774 to 1319 of the family's 1533-position model. The record is from RNAcentral.
AGUGAAUAGAUACCCGGGUAGUCCACGCUGUAAACGAUGGAUACUAGAUGUCGGGAGUUCUUACCCUCUCGGUGUCGCAGCCAACGCAUUAAGUAUCCCGCCUGGGAAGUACGGCCGCAAGGUUAAAACUCAAAGAAAUUGACGGGGGCCCGCACAAGCGGUGGAGUAUGUGGUUUAAUUCGAUGCAACGCGAAAAACCUUACCUGGGCUUGACAUCCGACGCUACCUGGCGAAAGUCAGGGUUCCCGCAAGGGACGUCGAGACAGGUGCUGCAUGGCUGUCGUCAGCUCGUGUCGUGAGAUGUUGGGUUAAGUCCCGCAACGAGCGCAACCCUUGCCGUUAGUUGCCAGCAUUAAGUUGGGCACUCUAACGGGACCGCUUGCCGAUAAGGCAGAGGAAGGUGGGGAUGACGUCAAGUCCGCAUGGCCCUUACGCCCAGGGCUACACACGUACUACAAUGGUAAUUACAGACCGAAGCUAGACCGCGAGGUGGAGCUAAUCGGAGAAAAGUUAUCACAGUUCGGAUUGGAGUCUGCAACUCGACUCC